CCUACGGGAGGCAGCAGUGGGGAAUAUUGCGCAAUGGGCGAAAGCCUGACGCAGCGACGCCGCGUGAGGGAUGAAGGUCUUCGGAUCGUAAACCUCUGUCAGCAGGGAAGAACGGUCACUGUGCUAAUCAGCAGUGAAUUGACGGUACCUGCAAAGGAAGCACCGGCUAACUCCGUGCCAGCAGCCGCGGUAAUACGGAGGGGGCGAGCGUUAAUCGGAAUUACUGGGCGUAAAGCGCUCGUAGGCGGUAUGUCAAGUCAAGGGUGAAAUCCCCGCGCUCAACGUGGGAACUGCCUUGGAAACUGGCAAACUGGAGUGUGUGAGAGGAUAGUGGAAUUCCAGGUGUAGGAGUGAAAUCCGUAGAUAUCUGGAGGAACAUCAGUGGCGAAGGCGACUAUCUGGAACAUAACUGACGCUGAGGAGCGAAAGCGUGGGUAGCAAACAGGAUUAGAUACCCCUGUAGUC
This 465-nucleotide ribosomal RNA is filed under the name uncultured bacterium. Its description in RNAcentral is "partial 16S ribosomal RNA". It matches the Rfam family "Bacterial small subunit ribosomal RNA", at positions 338 to 795 of the family's 1533-position model. The record is from RNAcentral.